Molecule: non-coding RNA, 135 nt
Organism: Sporisorium reilianum f. sp. reilianum
Lineage: Eukaryota; Fungi; Basidiomycota; Ustilaginomycetes; Ustilaginales; Ustilaginaceae
Source: the annotation of a GenBank genome assembly
GCUUCUUUAGCUCAGUUGGUACGAGCGUCCGACUGAAGGAUUCAGUUGCCACUGCUGCAGUGGGUGUGGCGAGUUGCAUAUCGGCGGCUCUGCGCGCCAAUCGGGAGGUCACCUGUUCGACCCAGGUAAGGAGCA